GUCGCAGAGGGCCUACCAUAUAUCUGCCUACAUCCAGUGAUCCAUAAAGGACCUCCAGUUCAAUGGUGACUAAGAAUCGAUGUGCUGGAUGGUGGAUUGCCUGAGCCUACAGAGGCCAUCUCAGAACCUCCAUAUGGCCACCUCCUCAAAGGUCCGACAGUCAGUCUCCUUGCCUUGGGGAGUCUCGAAUCAGUAGUACUCUUGCAAGAUAGAAGAAAGUA
RNAcentral lists this long non-coding RNA (221 nucleotides) under Elaeis guineensis (African oil palm). RNAcentral describes it as "long non-coding RNA (EGUI_LNC058595)". Lineage: Eukaryota; Viridiplantae; Streptophyta; Magnoliopsida; Arecales; Arecaceae. The record is from RNAcentral.